GGUUUUAUAGUUUAUUUAAUAAUAUUAGAAUGCAAUUCUGAAGGAAUAAAAAUUUAUUUAUUAAAACUU
This 69-nucleotide transfer RNA is filed under the name Taxonus zhangi. RNAcentral's name for it is "tRNA-Cys". The record is from RNAcentral. Lineage: Eukaryota; Metazoa; Arthropoda; Insecta; Hymenoptera; Tenthredinidae.